RNAcentral lists this ribosomal RNA (1435 nucleotides) under uncultured organism. Its description in RNAcentral is "16S ribosomal RNA". It matches the Rfam family "Bacterial small subunit ribosomal RNA". The record is from RNAcentral.
CAGGAUGAACGCUAGCUACAGGCUUAACACAUGCAAGUCGAGGGGCAGCAUGGUCUUAGCUUGCUAAGGCCGAUGGCGACCGGCGCACGGGUGAGUAACACGUAUCCAACCUGCCGUCUACUCUUGGACAGCCUUCUGAAAGGAAGAUUAAUACAAGAUGGCAUCAUGAGUCCGCAUGUUCACAUGAUUAAAGGUAUUCCGGUAGACGAUGGGGAUGCGUUCCAUUAGAUAGUAGGCGGGGUAACGGCCCACCUAGUCUUCGAUGGAUAGGGGUUCUGAGAGGAAGGUCCCCCACAUUGGAACUGAGACACGGUCCAAACUCCUACGGGAGGCAGCAGUGAGGAAUAUUGGUCAAUGGGCGAGAGCCUGAACCAGCCAAGUAGCGUGAAGGAUGACUGCCCUAUGGGUUGUAAACUUCUUUUAUAAAGGAAUAAAGUCGGGUAUGGAUACCCGUUUGCAUGUACUUUAUGAAUAAGGAUCGGCUAACUCCGUGCCAGCAGCCGCGGUAAUACGGAGGAUCCGAGCGUUAUCCGGAUUUAUUGGGUUUAAAGGGAGCGUAGAUGGAUGUUUAAGUCAGUUGUGAAAGUUUGCGGCUCAACCGUAAAAUUGCAGUUGAUACUGGAUAUCUUGAGUGCAGUUGAGGCAGGCGGAAUUCGUGGUGUAGCGGUGAAAUGCUUAGAUAUCACGAAGAACUCCGAUUGCGAAGGCAGCCUGCUAAGCUGCAACUGACAUUGAGGCUCGAAAGUGUGGGUAUCAAACAGGAUUAGAUACCCUGGUAGUCCACACGGUAAACGAUGAAUACUCGCUGUUUGCGAUAUACUGCAAGCGGCCAAGCGAAAGCGUUAAGUAUUCCACCUGGGGAGUACGCCGGCAACGGUGAAACUCAAAGGAAUUGACGGGGGCCCGCACAAGCGGAGGAACAUGUGGUUUAAUUCGAUGAUACGCGAGGAACCUUACCCGGGCUUAAAUUGCAGAUGAAUUACGGUGAAAGCCGUAAGCCGCAAGGCAUCUGUGAAGGUGCUGCAUGGUUGUCGUCAGCUCGUGCCGUGAGGUGUCGGCUUAAGUGCCAUAACGAGCGCAACCCUUGUUGUCAGUUACUAACAGGUUCCGCUGAGGACUCUGACAAGACUGCCAUCGUAAGAUGUGAGGAAGGUGGGGAUGACGUCAAAUCAGCACGGCCCUUACGUCCGGGGCUACACACGUGUUACAAUGGGGGGUACAGAGGGCCGCUACCACGCGAGUGGAUGCCAAUCCCCAAAACCUCUCUCAGUUCGGACUGGAGUCUGCAACCCGACUCCACGAAGCUGGAUUCGCUAGUAAUCGCGCAUCAGCCACGGCGCGGUGAAUACGUUCCCGGGCCUUGUACACACCGCCCGUCAAGCCAUGGGAGCCGGGGGUACCAGAAGUGCGUAACCGCGAGGAGCGCCCUAGGGUA